UACGUAGGCAGUGAGCGUUGUUCGGAGUUACUGGGCGUAAAGAGUGCGUAGGCGGUUGGCUAAGUUUGGUGUGAAAUCUCCCGGCUCAACUGGGAGGGUGCGCCGAAAACUGGCUGGCUGGAGUGUGGGAGAGGCUAGCGGAAUUCCUGGUGUAGCGGUGAAAUGCGUAGAUAUCAGGAGGAACACCGGUGGUGUAGACGGCUUACUGGACCACGACUGACACUGAGGCACGAAAGCGUGGGUAGCAAACAGG
Molecule: ribosomal RNA, 253 nt
Filed under: uncultured bacterium
Lineage: Bacteria
Description: partial 16S ribosomal RNA
Rfam family: Bacterial small subunit ribosomal RNA
Source: RNAcentral